CUAUUCCACUUUACUCUCUCCUAUAGUGCGCAAAUCACCGGAUUACCUCGGGGUAUACCGUGUAAAUUAAGAAUUAAGGCAUUGCAUAACAGAGAUGUAACUAUUUAUUAUAGAUCAGACGCGUCGGCCCCGCCCCUUUCCGCUACGUCACGCCUUCCGCCGCAGCCUCUACGGGUUGCUAUGACGACGGCGUUGCAGCUCGUCUCCGAAGGCAUUCGGCUACUUUCUGCACUUGAGUUUUUGGGAAAACUGUGUCGACCGGAGAGAAAAGAACCACGAAAAAGGCAGCAGCGGCUAUGAAAAUGAUAAUACCAACACGUCUGAAAAUGUUGCAGGGACUCAUGUUGCUUCCUUUUGAUAUCACCAUGAAGUAAGAGAGAUAACUUUAUAAUGGAGACCUCAGAAGAAGUGGACCACACGGCUCUGAACGGGUCAGACCAGCAGCGUCCAGCACUGAGGUACAGCACAGUGGGAGAGCAGCCGUCUUGCAGGACACCAGAUAGGAGACAAGUUGAUGCCCUACUUGACAUCAGUGAGGAGGACUUCUUGAAAGAGCUGGAGCCACAUGAGUAUCACUGUUACUCUGUUUGGCAAGAAGCUGUCAAAGGUUGGGCCAGAGUUGCCCCACUGAGCUGCAUACUCGUGACUCAGAAGAGAGAGAAGAAACCAAAGCAUGAGGAGGUGGACAACCUGCCCCCCUUGUCCAUUUACCCACAAGUCCUUAAUGCAGACUGUUCAGCCAGCGCUGCAGAGCACCGCUUUGAGUCUCAUGUGGGCCCACGUAACAGCUUUAAGAAAUCCAUGCCAGUAAACCAGUACACGGAAUGGUGGAGUAACACUGCUGUGGCAAGUCUGCGGGAAGAUGCCUCAGAGUCGUCCGUCCUCACUGCAAUGCAAAAGGUCAUGUCAAAUCUCGUACUGGAAGAGAAGACAGAGGUGGAAGGAAGGCUCAGAGUGUCCCCUGUGCAGAACAGGCCAACUAAGCACCAGAAGCCCAACCAUAGGCCUCAUAAUGCAGUGCUCCCCAUUAAAAACUUCACAUUCUUACCACCGAUUGCAUCACUACAUCUGAAUCCUCAGAGAGUCGGUGGCAAGAGGGCUGCAGAGGGAGAAACCAUGGAUGAGAACUGUUUCAUAUUUGAUCUGAAGGGUGGGGCAAGAGGAACAAGAACGGAACCCGUCGCUAACCUGACCUCCAAGUACCGGACAUGUCAGCAUGACCCCCACUUGUUCUCUGCUGCAAGUAUGUCACUCCACAAGAGGUGUCAAGUACCUGUGUCUUCCAGACGUGACACGGCACACCACACUAGCUUCUCGAUGGGCAGGAGUCUCAAACACCCGGGCACCGCAGCGGGUGCACAAGUCCAUCUGCGCCCAAGUAAGACUGUGUGUGCUGUCAAGAUGUAUGAUGGCUGUGAAAUAAAUGUUUAA
RNAcentral lists this long non-coding RNA (1431 nucleotides) under Sparus aurata (gilthead seabream). Its description in RNAcentral is "lncRNA (ENSSAUG00010008808.1)". Lineage: Eukaryota; Metazoa; Chordata; Actinopteri; Spariformes; Sparidae. The record is from RNAcentral.